AUUAUUUUGGCAGAUUAGUGCAUUAGUCUUAGAAACUAAUUAUGUAUUCGUACAGGUAAUA
Molecule: transfer RNA, 61 nt
Filed under: Bostrichoidea sp. 6 KM-2017
Lineage: Eukaryota; Metazoa; Arthropoda; Insecta; Coleoptera
Description: tRNA-Leu
Source: RNAcentral